AGCGAACGCUGGCGGCAGGCCUAACACAUGCAAGUCGAACGAACUCUUCGGAGUUAGUGGCGGACGGGUGAGUAACACGUGGGAACGUGCCUUUUGGUUCGGAAUAACUCAGGGAAACUUGUGCUAAUACCGAAUGUGCCCUUCGGGGGAAAGAUUUAUCGCCAUUAGAGCGGCCCGCGUCUGAUUAGCUAGUUGGUGAGGUAACGGCUCACCAAGGCGACGAUCAGUAGCUGGUCUGAGAGGAUGACCAGCCACACUGGGACUGAGACACGGCCCAGACUCCUACGGGAGGCAGCAGUGGGGAAUCUUGCGCAAUGGGCGAAAGCCUGACGCAGCCAUGCCGCGUGAAUGAUGAAGGUCUUAGGAUUGUAAAAUUCUUUCACCGGGGACGAUAAUGACGGUACCCGGAGAAGAAGCCCCGGCUAAUUUCGUG
RNAcentral lists this ribosomal RNA (433 nucleotides) under uncultured bacterium. Its description in RNAcentral is "partial 16S ribosomal RNA". It matches the Rfam family "Bacterial small subunit ribosomal RNA", at positions 29 to 507 of the family's 1533-position model. The record is from RNAcentral.